Aethalodelphis obliquidens (Pacific white-sided dolphin) is the source of this 7571-nucleotide RNA transcript. It is a transcript of the gene named kelch like family member 18, with no coding region annotated. The record is from RefSeq and is a predicted model, not a curated record. Lineage: Eukaryota; Metazoa; Chordata; Mammalia; Artiodactyla; Delphinidae. The transcript is spliced from 14 exons.
GCGGGGGAACGAAGGAUGCGCAAGAACCAGGAAACGGGGCAGCCGGGCUUCCGGCGCACAGCAGUUUGAGACUACGGCGGCCGCGCAGCUCCGUCUAACUCCAGCCUUGCGCUCCGAGCUGCCGUCCACAGGCGCCCUCGCCCCGCCCAGCUUAGCUUCGAGCCAGCCGGCCAGGCCUGCGCAGUCGCGGCGGCCGGGGAAGAUGGUGGAGGACGGCGCGGAGGAGCUGGAGGACCUGGUGCACUUCUCCGUGUCCGAGUUGCCUAGUCGCGGCUACGGCGUCAUGGAGGAGAUCCGGCGGCAGGGCAAGCUGUGCGACGUGACGCUCAAGAUUGGGGACCACAAAUUCAGUGCUCACCGGAUCGUCUUAGCAGCCUCAAUCCCGUAUUUCCACGCUAUGUUUACAAAUGACAUGAUGGAGUGCAAGCAGGAUGAGAUUGUAAUGCAAGGAAUGGACCCAAGCGCCCUGGAAGCUCUGAUCAACUUUGCCUACAACGGUCACCUUGCCAUUGACCAGCAAAACGUCCAGUCGUUGCUGAUGGGGGCGAGUUUCCUGCAGUUGCAGAGCAUCAAAGACGCCUGCUGCACAUUCCUCCGAGAACGGCUUCACCCCAAAAACUGCCUGGGUGUACGCCAGUUUGCUGAGACCAUGAUGUGUGCCGUGCUAUACGACGCGGCCAACAGCUUCAUCCACCAGCACUUUGUGGAGGUGUCCAUGUCGGAAGAGUUCCUGGCCCUGCCCCUGGAAGACGUGCUUGAGCUGGUGUCUCGGGAUGAGCUGAACGUGAAAUCAGAGGAGCAGGUCUUUGAGGCCGUGUUGGCCUGGAUCAGAUACGACCGGGAGCAGAGGGGACCCUGCCUGCCUGAGCUGCUGUCCAAUAUCCGCCUGCCCCUCUGCCGGCCCCAGUUCCUGUCAGACCGAGUGCAGCAGGAUGACCUGGUGCGUUGCUGCCACAAAUGCAGGGACCUGGUGGAUGAAGCAAAGGACUAUCACCUCAUGCCAGAGCGCCGGCCCCACCUGCCAGCUUUCAGAACUCGGCCUCGCUGCUGCACAUCUAUCGCUGGGCUCAUCUAUGCCGUGGGGGGCCUCAACUCAGCAGCAAAUUUUUAUGCAGGUGAUUCCCUGAAUGUGGUGGAAGUGUUCGACCCCAUCGCCAAUCGCUGGGAGAAGUGCCAUCCCAUGACCACAGCCCGCAGCCGUGUCGGUGUGGCCGUGGUGAACGGACUCCUCUAUGCCAUCGGGGGGUAUGACGGCCAGCUGCGGCUGAGCACUGUGGAGGUCUACAACCCAGAGACGGACACGUGGACCCGAGUGGGGAGCAUGAAUAGCAAGAGAAGUGCCAUGGGGACGGUCGUGCUGGACGGGCAGAUCUACGUCUGUGGUGGCUAUGAUGGCAACUCUUCUCUCAACUCUGUGGAGACCUACUCACCUGAGACGGACAAGUGGACUGUGGUGACCCCGAUGAGCUCCAAUCGCAGUGCUGCAGGGGUUACAGUCUUUGAGGGCAGGAUAUACGUGUCGGGCGGCCAUGACGGUUUGCAGAUCUUCAAUAGUGUGGAGCACUACAACCACCACACAGCCACCUGGCACCCGGCGGCCGGCAUGCUCAACAAGCGCUGCCGGCACGGAGCUGCAUCCCUGGGAAGCAAGAUGUUUGUGUGCGGGGGCUACGACGGCUCGGGCUUCCUCAGCAGCGCCGAGGUGUACAGCUCUGUGGCGGACCAGUGGUGCCUGAUAGUCCCCAUGCACACACGCCGGAGCCGGGUCUCCCUGGUGGCCAGCUGUGGGCGGCUCUACGCCGUGGGGGGCUACGACGGACAGUCGAACCUGAGCUCGGUGGAGAUGUACGACCCAGACACGGACCGCUGGACGUUUAUGGCCCCCAUGGCAUGUCACGAGGGGGGGGUCGGUGUGGGCUGCAUCCCUCUCCUCACCAUCUAAGGCGAAGGGUGGGAUGUGGUGGAGUAGGGAUCUGGUACAAACACAGGCACUUCCUUCCAGGGUUAGUCCCCCUCGGAAGAGGUGGUGGACCAGAAGACAGGGUGAAAUGUGAGCUCGCCAGAGGUACAGUUUUCCAGGUGCUUAAGUCCUCCCUCCCUGUGCAGCCCUGUGACCUUCAGGCCUAGGUCAUCAAGAUGCACAGCGUGGGACAGAAGCCCCUCUGGGUCCCGCAGCUGGUGACACAGGACUGCUUUGCUGGUCCACAUGUCCACAGGCUCCAUCCAAGCCCAGCUCCCACCUGCCACAGCUCUGUGGGUCGCCCAUCUGCAGAGUGUCUUCCAUCUGACACUCCUUGCCUACUGCUUGCCAGGUGUGUUGUGGCCAGUUUGCGAUGGGGUGGCUUCAGUGGCCAAGCGUGUUGGAAACUGUGGGGUGUGGGUGGGAGAGGAGGGACACAGGCCGGGUUGUCCUCACUGCGAGGCUGCAGCCAUGGCAGUGCUGGUUGCACACACGCACCUCCUCCUUCCAUCCGAGCGCACCGAGAAUUUUGUCUGCAUUGCUGAGUAAGCACGAAGAACAGAAGCUUUUCCUGUGUCUAAUUUUGGGAUUUCAGCGAGGUCUUUUUCAUCUUGUUCAGGAGAAACAGAGGGAGAGGAUAAAAGAUACUUGAAAGAAACUGAAGGAAAGUUAAAGAAACACUUGAAAGAAACUGAAAAGAAAAAUAAUUUUUUAAAGUGAACAUUUUUUUGCAAGAAGAAAACAUAAAAGACACUAGAGGCAAAUAUGUGUUUAAAUGGAAAACCACCCAACGUGAAAAGGGUGGUAUCCGCUCCCACAUUCGGAUCCCAGGGUCCUAAGGCCUCGCAUGGCACUCGGGGUUCCCUCUGAGCCCCUGUGUGUCCAGAAUCAGUGCGCACUCGACCAGUCCUGUAGCAAGGUGCUCGUGGGGUUUGUCUUCACACCCACUAUCAGAGGACUUUUUUAAUCGUAGGCUUAGCGAGUUGGCUAAGUUAUUGCCACUCUUCUAGGUGGGAGCUCCUAGCUUGUCGCUGGAGGCUCCAGAUGCCCCUGUGGUUAUCUCCCACUGCCACCAUGGCACUCAUGCAGAUUCCCACCCCACUUUCAUUCCUUCCUUAUUUGACCAGCAGGAAACAGCACGUCUGGCCAGAUUCUCAUUUGCCCAUCUAUCAUUCUUGGAUAGUUUUCUUCAUCGUGAUGCUUCUGAGGUACAUUGACCAUUUGUACCUCUAGAACCUAACCAGAGACUUGGUCCUUCCACCAGCCACGGCUGGCUUGAUCCAGUAACCAUAUCUACCCUGCCAGUCCGCUGCUCCUCCAUCCACUCGCCAAUUCCAGGGGUCUGGUCUCCCCUCCAGCCCUUGGCAGACUGACCAGCAAGGUGGACCUUUAUAUUCUAGCAAAGCUGGCUUUAUGACGUAAAGAACUAAAAGCUGAAAGAAUCUCUUGCUGCUGCAAAGAACAGAUUUUAUAUUUCUUCCUAUGAUCUUAGCUAAUGACCUCUUGAAGAGACUCCAUGCUCCUCCUUCCUCCUCCCUGGAUGGGACCUUGAUGCUGCACAGUGGGACCCCAACAGGAGGACUCUUCUCUUACCAGUGCACUGGGCAGUGGAGCUGUCCUUCAACUGCUGCUGCCAAAAUUUGGUUUUCCAAAAUUCUUCCAGUAGAGACUAAAAGAGGAUACAUUUCCAAUGCAAGAUUGGGUCUCAGGGUCCCAAUCUCUACUUGGUUGGUCUGCCCAUCGCUGCCUGCCUGGGUGUCCUGGAAGCCUGUUCAGAAAGGCACCAUGUGACACCUGAGACGUCUCUUCUACCCUGGGACUGUGAGGUUUACCAGUGUGUGCAAUCGCCAUGUUUCCAGAGGGAAGUACCUUUGUUACCUGCCACUUAGGAGCUGGGCCUCUGCUAAAAGCACUUGAAAAUGAUGUUUUUAUUUUAAAAGACUUAACAAUCUAAUAUAGUUGAGCCUGGGCUUGUGGUAGAGCUCUGGCAUUUCUCGCUCCCUGUCGGUUUGCCUGUUAGAGGUAGACUUGGAAGGAGGGUGGGGUCUGUUAUUCCUGUUAGAGAGGAGUUAUCAGUGCUUGUCUUCUUAUUAUAAGCCCCUUUCUUUUGUGAAUUUGCAACAGCACUGACAAACCUGGGUUGUGAAUGUGUUAAGAAUCAACCAGUGGACCUCACCAGGUCCUUAGGAUGCUGACCCAGAUUUUGCCAUUGGGGUUGAGAGAUCAUUUUCCCAUGAUCUGCUGCUCUUGUGAUAGCCUUCCUACAUCUACUCCCACCUCCUGGUGUAGAAGUUACACUGCUUCACCUGGGGUCAGUGUUUCCAAGUAAGGUGAAGCCAGUGCCUUGAUCUGGGCUCUGAGCACAAGUGAGCAAACACUAACAUUUUCACACUCUCCACAGUUGGUUCCUCAGUCUGACGGUGAUGACUGUUUACAGGUGGCUGGUCUGACCCUUUGAUGUUGGAGCCUUUCCAGUAAAACCAUGAAAAGAAGAGAUGCCACCCAUAGGUAUUGUGAAAAGGGUAUAGGGCAGAUACCGUGGACAGUGAACCUUGGGGUCCAGCCCAGCUCUGAGCAGAGGACUGUGGCAUUCGCUGUCCUAGGGUAUUUCCCCUUAGAUAACACAAGGAACCUUCUCUUCUGGGUUUCAUCCGAGAGCAAAGCCAGGAUGGGAGCUGAAGUCCAGCCUUUUGACUUGGCCACAGAGAUGUGAGUAGUAUCGUCAAGAAUUGAGACCAGAUCUCCACAUUCACAGUCCAGUUCACCUGAGGAAAGCAGUGUCUUCGUCCUCUGGAGCAGCUGAUUCAUCCAGCCUCCAUGCCCCGAGUGUGGAGGUCUGCUGCCCAGUACUGUGAUGGCCUUCGAGAAGCAGACUGAGCAGCGAGAGAAAGAAGAACCCUGUUUGGAUUAUGGAAACAGACUCUCAAUUCUGUUUCAUCGAUCUCUAUGCCUGUCCAUGAGCCAAUACCACACUGAUUGUAUGCUACUGAGUUUUCCAGCUUUAAAGAACUUAUUUUCAUCUCAGCAUUGUUUACAGCAAUUUCAAAGCAAAACAAAAUGGAAACAACUUCGACAGCAGGAGUGACUUAAAUAAAUGGAGGUCUAACCACCCAAUGGAGAAUUACACAGAAAAAAACAUGGGGUGAGUCAAUAGUGACUGAAGUGUGUUAGCUGACAGGUUAAAUGAGAAUAAGCUGGUUGUAAAAUGGGCCGUAAAAUGACUGUGAAGUCAUUUUUUCUUUUAAAAAUAAAACUCACAUUGUACCUGUAUGUAUGAGGAAUGAAAUUUGAUUCCUGCAGCCAUUUAGAUGUUGUCCUAGAGGUCUGUUCACCCAUUGUGUUCCCACCCCCAACCCCCAGUGAAUUUUUCCUUCUGGUCUUGCUUCUGUGGGCCUGAAGACUUUCAGAAGCUGCCAAGGCCAAGAGCCUGAGCUGUAUUUGGAGCCUUGAUACCAUCUCAGGGCCUGAUAGUGUCUGGGCUAUGAGAAUACAGCAGAGUGGCUCCAGCAGAGCCUCGUGGCUGAUCCUACAGGCCUGCCCUCUUGCGGGGUACAGCAUGAUGGGCCUUGUGUAAUGUGGCAUUGACCACCAUAGAUGAGCCUUGAGCUUCCUGGGAGAAGUUGCUCAGCCCGUUAGUGUCCAGAACCCCCUAGAAGACCUGGAUGAGACCUGGAAGUACUCUUUCGGGGUGGGGGUCAGGCAAGGGAGUGAUAUGUGGUGGUGUGCCUGCGGUGCUGGUGCCUUCUGCUCUCUGCAGGAGCUAGAAGUGACCUUCUCCAGCUGAACAUCAUUGUCCCACCAUGGGGAGAGGGUCUGGGGUCUAGUUUAUCCUGCUCAGCCCAAACCUGCCCAUUUCCCACCCCAGGGUUGCUCCCUGCAGCAUCCCCCACCCCCUCUUGCCCACCAGUGGGGCUACCUGAGAUUUAGGUGGCAAGGGAGUUGGAGUGUGGACUAUGGGCAAGUUAACCAAUUUCCUUGAGGCUUAGUUUUCUCACUGAAAGUUGCAGGUGAUGCAUGCAGCUUGCAACGCAUUUCUGAGACCUGAGAAGUGUAUUCCCAUUCACUGUAUGGGAAGUGGCGUUCAUAAAUCGUGGCUAUUAUUAUUAAUGGAGAGGAGUCCUUGGCUUUCCUGGGAUAAUUACUAAAAAACCCAUUUCCCCAAGGGGCUCUACACCAUGGCCCCUCAAAUGAGAGUUUCCCACAGAUAUUUCUGUAGCAAAGACUUGAAAAAGGAGCCUACUAGUGAGAAGACAAGGGCAUUCAUCCAUUCAACAAGUAUUUACUGAGCAACUACAGUGUUCUCAGGGCUGGAUGUAUCAGGAACCAAGGCCAAGGUUUGCUGGUGGACCAGAUGUGGCUGUGAAAGACAGCAGAGAGCCAGAUGCUCAGGUCCCUGACUGCAUGUGGCAGUUGGGAGCUCUCAGUUCCUGGAGUGUCCACUCCAGGGGACCCAGCAGAACGCCUCACCCGGUGGACCUACAGAAGUGAUGCAGACGUGAUCACCCUCAUUGAUUGGCCCCCUUUCCUGUCCUGCCUGUGGCCCCUCUCUCCAGGUGGGGAUGAGUGUGAGGCACCGGCAGUGAUGUUGGUGAUGGGGCUGGAGGUGGUCCCCAGUGAGGCCCUUCCACUCGGAGCCCAGAGGGCCUGGGAAGGCCUGAACUCUGCCGCUCACUUCCUCUCUGGCUAUUCCACUCACUUGCUAGGAGGUUGCACCUCCGGCUUCAGUUUUUCCAAAUGUGGGAUGUGGAGGAGGGUUCCCAGAGCUCAGGGCCCAGAGCAGAGCCAGUGUCCUGCGAAGUCUGAGCUCCCUCUCACCCCCAGGAUGCCCCUUAGCCUCGGCCACCAGUCUCUCCUCCCCACCCCUCCUGCCAAACGACUAGCAGUCAUCAACGUCCAACCGCGCCUCACACUCCACAAGCCUUUCCCCUCCCGACGACUUGCGUUUAGAAGGGCUCGAUCGGCCCGGUUUCCAGAGGAGGAAACUGAGGCCCCAUGCGCCGAAGUCAGUGGCCCGGGUGAGGGCCCCUCGGUCAUCGGCGGUCACCGGGCAGAGCGCCGCCCGCGACGGAAACAGACUGGGGCCAGCGCGGGCGCAGGGGCUCAUCUCCGGCUUGAGCUCGCGCUCGUGGUCCGGGUCCCCAGGGCAGUUGAGGGACGGUUGAGGGACGGAAGGAUGUGCUGCAGCAUGAAGAAGAUGCCCGUGCAGUUCCGCUCUUCCUGUGGGUCAGUGAGCACAGGAGUACGGUGGCCGACGUUCUUGCCCAGGUACCCAGGCUCCCGAAGCCGGCGCCCUCCCUAAUCCUCCCCCCAGAGCCAGGCGGGAGCGGCGAACGCUGGGGGGACCCGGGCGGGCUCCGUGAACACCCAGUAAAAUUAAGGACUUUCAUGCAAGUUAUAUUAAAUGGGAAAAGGCCUCCAGAAUUAGCCUCAGAGGAAGCUAUAUUUGUUUAAAACACUCGUGUGUACAUAAAAAAGAUACAGAAGAUGAUUCACCAAUGGUUAAUGUUGUCUCCUCCUGGGUAGUGGGGUUGCAGGGGGUUUUUGUUUGUUUGUUUUUAGUUUGCUUCUCCACAUUUUGUUAAUUUGCUAUAAUAAAAUAUUAUUUUCCUAA